RNAcentral lists this ribosomal RNA (497 nucleotides) under uncultured bacterium. Its description in RNAcentral is "partial 16S ribosomal RNA". It matches the Rfam family "Bacterial small subunit ribosomal RNA", at positions 28 to 507 of the family's 1533-position model. The record is from RNAcentral.
GACGAACGCUGGCGGCGUGCCUAAUACAUGCAAGUUGAGCGCUGACGGUUGGUACUUUUCCCAACUGGAUGAGCAGCGAACGGGUGAGUAACGCGUGGGUCAUCUUCCUUUUAGCGGGGGACAACAUUUUGAAACGAAUGCUAAUACCGCAUAAAAACUUUAACCACAAGAUUUACGUUUUCAAGAUGCCAUUGCCUCACUCAAAGGUCAUCCCGCGUUGUAUUAGCUAGUUGGUGAGGUAAAGGCUCACCCAGGCGAAGAUACAUAGCCGACCUGAGAGGGGGGACGGCCCCAAUGGGACUGAGACACGGCCCAAACUCCCACGGGGGGCAGCAGUAGGGAAUCUUCGGCCAUGGACGAAAGUCUGACCGAGCAACGCCGCGUGAGUGAAGAAGGUUUUCGGAUCGGAAAACUCUGUUGGUAGAGAAGAACGUUCGUGAGAGUGGAAAGCUCAUCAAGUGACGGUAACUACACAGAAAGCGACGGCUAACUACGUG